RNAcentral lists this unclassified non-coding RNA (2219 nucleotides) under Chelonus insularis. RNAcentral describes it as "cation-independent mannose-6-phosphate receptor, transcript variant X1". Lineage: Eukaryota; Metazoa; Arthropoda; Insecta; Hymenoptera; Braconidae. The record is from RNAcentral.
AGUAGACAUACUUAUCUUAAUAACUUAGUUUAAUAAUAACUGUCAUACGUUUUCGAUUUUUUUAGAUCAACUCGUAAAACCGUCAUUUCCUUUGUUCGAUUCAUUGUUUCUGAUUGGUUGAAACAUCAUUGGCGGUGUAGAUCGACAUGUAAGAGGUGUUUAGAAGUAAAUUUAAGUGAAUCUAGCUGUAUAGUAAUAUGAAUAAAAUCUUUAUUAAAACUAAAAUUUAUUAGUAAAAAUUGUAAUUAAUAAGGAAUUAUGUGGUAUUCAAAAACUUUCUCCUCAUCAGCUACAAUAUUCAUUUGUCUACAUUUCUGUUAUAGCAAGGAAUCUUCGUCAAAAGAAAUUCCACGAAUUGAUGAGCAUGAUCCAUGUUUAUACGUAAAUAAUCAAAUAGGUGGUAUUGACUUCGAUUUUACAAAUUUAUCAAAUGUAGAGCAUGUAAUUCGCCUGAAAAAUUCUAAAGAAAAAAUCAGUUUACAAUUGUGUAAAGAACCUUUGAAAAACUUAUGCAAUAAUAGACAUGCUUACGUUUGUUUUCAUCGAGGAAAUAAAGAAAUAGUUUUAGGAAAUAAACCUCAGUACAAUGAUAUCGAUGGUAAAAUGACUUUUAAUUAUAUCGGCGAAAGCUGUAAAAAUGAUAAACCUUAUACGCUUAAUAUUGUGAUGAUAUGCGAUUUUAAAAAAACUAAUUCAGAACCCGAAAUUCAUUUCCAUUCGGACGACCAAUGUGCAAUUGAAAUGAUUUGGAGAACAAUUUCAGCAUGUGGUGUGCCUCCAAUGGAAAAACCCUUCAUUGACUGUACUGUUACUGAUGAUGCUGGAAAUUUUUAUGAUUUAAGCAGUUUAACGAAAUAUUCUGAUAAUUACAUAGUUCCCAUCGAUGAAAAUACUUCAAUUAUUCUAAAUGUUUGUCAUCCAAUAGUUUAUGGUAACGGAGCAGUUUGCCGAUAUUCAUCAAGUGUAUGUUUAAGACAUUCACUCAAUAUGAGCUAUGUUAAUCUUGGCGACGUAAGUUCACCAACUAUAAACAAAAAUAAAAUUCAAUUGAACAAUACGAAUGGAAAUUUGUGUCGAGGGCAAGCGGCUUUUACUUUAAUAUCAUUCAUCUGCGAUGAAGAAUCAGGCGAUAAUACCAUUGAACUUACUGGGGUUGAAAGAAAUUGUCGAUAUAAUUUAUUAUGGAAAACUAAUGUCGUGUGUAGAAAAAAACCUAGAUUUAAAAUGGAAGAUAAGUGUAUAGCUUUUGAUCCGGUUACUAAAAUGAAAUAUGAUUUAAAAUCGUUAAUGAUAAAAGACCAAAUUUUGGAAAGUUCUGGAGGAAUCCAUUAUAAGUUAAGAGUUUGUGCACCCUUACUAAAUAAUUCUUGCCAAUCAGAUGUGCUUAAAGCAGAUGCAGGUGUUUGUUCAGCUCAGAACUUAAUUAUUGGUGGAAAAGCUAAUUCGAACUUUUUCUGGUCAGCUCACGGUCCAUAUCUCAAUUACACAGAUGGAUCGCCUUGUGGAAAUCAGAAUCGUCGCUACACAUUGAUUCAUUUUAGCUGUGAACGUGAUAAAUCGAAAAACGUGCCAACAAUUGUUGAAGAUAAAGCAUGCCACCUUAUUAUUCAAUGGAAUACGUCACUCGUUUGUAAUGACAAAUCGAUAAAAUAUUUGCUACCUGAAGAACAAACAGAAAUACCUAAAACUAAAUUCUCUGAAUUAGAUCGAAACAAAAAAAAAAUAAUCAAUGAAUCUAUAUCCUCUACAUCUACUAUUCCACUUGAAAGUUCAAAAGCACCUGAUAUAAUUGAUGAGUCUAAUGAAACGGUUUAUGUUUCCGUAGUAACAAUUAGUGUCUUACUUGCUAUAUGUGGAUCAUUUGUGGUACUUUACUUACUAAAUUCACGAGUGAGAGGAUGUAUUAAUUCUUCGUGUUGUUCACGAUGGUUUAAAAAAUCGAACAUUCGUAUGCAGUAUUCUAAGGUGGUAACACUAAGAGAAGAUAAUGGUUCUCUAUAUAAUUUAAAUAAACUUGCAUAGGAAUGAUUUACUAUUCGAUCAUUAACACAAUUCAUUAAUAUUUUUUGCAAGCAUGGGGUUGGUUGAAGACAUCUUUUGAUUUGUGAUUAUUAUUCUUUAAAGUAUCUUUUUUAUUGCAUUUUGGUCUGAAUAACAUUAACCAUUUUUGAGUUUUAUGCAAUUUUAUAAUUAUCAUAUGAAUUAUUUAAGUAGUCAGC